This 270-nucleotide ribosomal RNA is filed under the name uncultured archaeon. Its description in RNAcentral is "partial 16S ribosomal RNA". It matches the Rfam family "Archaeal small subunit ribosomal RNA", at positions 477 to 747 of the family's 1478-position model. The record is from RNAcentral.
CAGCACCUCAAGUGGUCAGGAUGAUUAUUGGGCCUAAAGCAUCCGUAGCCGGCGCUGUAAGUUUUCGGUUAAAUCUGUACGCUCAACGUACAGGCUGCCGGGAAUACUGCAGCGCUAGGGAGUGGGAGAGGUAGACGGUACUCGGUAGGAAGGGGUAAAAUCCUUUGAUCUAUUGAUGACCACCCGUGGCGAAGGCGGUCUACCAGAACACGUCCGACGGUGAGGGAUGAAAGCUGGGGGAGCAAACCGGAUUAGAUACCCGCGUAGUCC